RNAcentral lists this ribosomal RNA (793 nucleotides) under uncultured archaeon. RNAcentral's name for it is "bacterial SSU rRNA". It matches the Rfam family "Archaeal small subunit ribosomal RNA", at positions 85 to 879 of the family's 1478-position model. The record is from RNAcentral.
ACGGCUCAGUAACACGUGGACAAUCUGCCCUGAAGUGGAGAAUAAUCCCGGGAAACUGGGGGUAAUACUCCAUAGUUCGUUAUUACUGGAAUGUUUUUCGAACGAAAGAUCCGUCGCUUCAGGAUGAGUCUGCGGCCGAUUAGGUAGUUGUUGGGGUAAUUGCCCAACAAGCCUGUAAUCGGUACGGGUUGUGAGAGCAAGAGCCCGGAGAUGGAUUCUGAGACACGAAUCCAGGCCCUACGGGGUGCAGCAGGCGCGAAAACUUUACAAUGCUGGCAACAGCGAUAAGGGAACCUCGAGUGCCAGGUUACAAAUCUGGCUGUCGAGAUGCCUAAAAAGCAUUUCAUAGCAAGGGCCGGGCAAGACCGGUGCCAGCCGCCGCGGUAACACCGGCGGCUCGAGUGGUAACCGUUAUUAUUGGGUCUAAAGGGUCUGUAGCCGGCCGGAUAAGUCUCUUGAGAAAUCUGGCAGCUUAACUGUCAGGCUUUCAGGAGAUACUGUCUGGCUCGAGGCCGGGAGAGGUGAGAGGUACUUCAGGGGUAGGGGUGAAAUCUUGUAAUCCUUGAAGGACCACCAGUGGCGAAGGCGUCUCACCAGAACGGACCUGACGGCAAGGGACGAAAGCUAGGGGCACGAACCGGAUUAGAUACCCGGGUAGUCCUAGCCGUAAACGAUACUCGCUAGGUGUCGGCCACGGUGCGACCGUUGUCGGUGCCGUAGGGAAGCCGUGAAGCGAGCCACCUGGGAAGUACGGCCGCAAGGCUGAAACUUAAAGGAAUUGGCGGGGGAGCAC